AACGAACGCUGGCGGCAUGCCUAACACAUGCAAGUCGAACGAGACCUUCGGGUCUAGUGGCGAACGGGUGCGUAACGCGUGGGAACCUGCCCUUAGGUUCGGAAUAACUCCCCGAAAGGGGUGCUAAUACCGGAUAAUGUCUUCGGACCAAAGAUUUAUCGCCUUUGGAUGGGCCCGCGUUGGAUUAGCUAGUUGGUAGGGUAAAAGCCUACCAAGGCGACGAUCCAUAGCUGGUCUGAGAGGAUGAUCAGCCACACUGGGACUGAGACACGACCCAGACUCCUACGGGAGGCAGCAGUGGGGAAUAUUGGACAAUGGGCGAAAGCCUGAUCCAGCAAUGCCGCGUGAGUGAUGAAGGCCUUAGGGUUGUAAAGCUCUUUUACCCGGGAUGAUAAUGACAGUACCGGGAGAAUAAGCUCCGGCUAACUCCGUG
Molecule: ribosomal RNA, 433 nt
Filed under: uncultured bacterium
Lineage: Bacteria
Description: partial 16S ribosomal RNA
Rfam family: Bacterial small subunit ribosomal RNA
Source: RNAcentral